CUUUCAAUUCUACGACUCAAUCAGAAACCCUAAUCUCGCCUCUUCACUGGAUUAUUUGCAUCUUUUGCUUUCCAGUCUGUCUUCUGCUCAUCUUAUCUUCAAUCUUGGGUUUUACUUUCUCUCUUCAGUCGGUUGCUGCAAGAUGGUUUAUUGCUCACCAACACCUUUAAUUCCAUUGAUCGCCCUAUCGUGCAUAUUUGAUUUUAAUGUUUGACCUAAAUGAUGGAGGAAUUCUGAUUUAUCUAUCAAAAGGAUUUCAUGUGGAUCACUUAGAGGUAACCCGUGACUUUGAAUGUUUGCUUGGGGGAAUAGUUCUAUGAUAGAGAGUUCUAUUUUAGAGUUGUGAGAUGCAAAACACACACAUGAAUAAGCACUAUCUAGGGACAUGAUCAUCUAUCUCUGGGCAUGCGAUUGACCAUCGUGGUCGCCAUCGACAUAGUGCCAGAGCUGAGCUUAGAGGUAGCACAGCCGAUCAGAGAAUCAACUUAUUGCUUUGGUGCAGAAGGUACAUAAUCCUUCUUUCAACACUAUUGUUUGAUUUAUUAUUAAUUCAAGUUUCACUAAAAACAUAACAAAAUAUAUUUCUUAAGAUGUUGUACUCUUAAGUUUUAAUUUAUUUUUUGUUUCAAUUUCUUUAAACAUAAAUAAUCAGUGUGUUGAACAUGGUUAAAUAACUUUAUUAUGAAAAAAAACUAUUCUAAAUUCUUUAGGCAAUAUGGUGUGUAGCCAAGCCUCUUGGUGCCCUCCUUCAUUUGGAUGAAUUUGAUUGGGCCAACAAGGCUAAAAAAUGGGGUCCAAAACUAGAGCCCUUUAGCGCUUGCCAUUGCCCAUCGUCACUCCACACCGAUUAGCGACUUAAGAGGUUGUAAGUAUUCAGAUACACUUCGAGUCGCUUUUUAUAUGACCCAUGCCAUUUUAACUAACUGUUUUUAUUUAGAAAUACACCGCAUCUCAAAUCAAUAGUCAGUGCUUUAAAGCACUAGAAAACAACACAGAUUGGAAAAAAAAAUAUUAACUAAACUAUUGCUUUUUUUUCUUUUUUUACUGCACUUUCUUUUGUUUUGUUUUAAUUCUUUUCAGUUUAAUUUUAUUAGAUUAUUUUUUUGUAUUUACUAAUUUAUUAUUUAGCAUAUCAACCCCACAAAAUAAAAACACGUUACCACUAUAUUUUUAGGAUUUCACUGUCGUUUAGAGGAGAAAGAUUUAGGAUAUUCCUUACUUAUUCUGCUCGCCUUAGGCUGUGCGGUGUAGGGAUCGUCCACGCCCCGUCCUGGAUCGGCGCCGCCGUCCCCCCAUUUCGCCCCCACCGCCGGCGUCCUGAACGUCCGCAUGAAGAUGUUGGAGACGGGCCUCCCCCUCUCUCACACACCUAUACAUACAAUAUAUACAUAUAUAUUUUAGGUCCAUCUCCCAUUUCCUUACCUCCAUCCUCUUUGCCCCAUCCUCGCACCCGAUCUACGUGGUGGACCAUCCUCCAAAGAUGGACCCAUCACCAUACCGCAUAGCCUUAUUAAAGCGGCUCACUUUUCACACGCUAACCAUAAUUAUUACUGUUAUCGUUAUAGCUUUUGUUUGUUCUUUGCAUUUCUAUAAUUGUGAUCUUCAGGUUGCCCAAAGUUGAGCUUGAGCUGAAAUUUAAUCUUCGGGGAAAAAAAAACUUGAAGUGUUACUUAAUCAUAUGUCUCGCAAGUAUUGAUAGUGUUUUUUCUAUUUUUAGUUUUAUUUUAAUAAUGGUUGAUUGAGAAUCAACUUAUUUCAAAUAUAAUCGUAAUAACUUUUUUUAAGAUGAGAUAUACUAUUGUUAGGAUU
This 1809-nucleotide long non-coding RNA is filed under the name Helianthus annuus (common sunflower). RNAcentral's name for it is "hypothetical non coding rna". Lineage: Eukaryota; Viridiplantae; Streptophyta; Magnoliopsida; Asterales; Asteraceae. The record is from RNAcentral.